Molecule: transfer RNA, 71 nt
Filed under: Marmota monax (woodchuck)
Lineage: Eukaryota; Metazoa; Chordata; Mammalia; Rodentia; Sciuridae
Description: tRNA.Ala
Source: RNAcentral
GGGGGUGCAGCUCAGUGGUAGAGGGCUUGCCUAGCAUGCACAGGUACUGGGUUCAAUCCCCAGUACCACUU